RNAcentral lists this non-coding RNA (29 nucleotides) under Mus musculus (house mouse). The record is from RNAcentral. Lineage: Eukaryota; Metazoa; Chordata; Mammalia; Rodentia; Muridae.
GUGGAUAAGGAAGGGUUAGGUGUAAGUUC